AUACGGUACGUUCGCGGAACACACUGCAGUUUGUUGAGCGAAGAGGAGCGAGCCGAUCAAACUGAGCUGAUGGGGAUGCCAGUAGGAGAGUGCGUGGAGCAGACACAUAUUACAUAUUCUUUCUACAUCACCAGGGAGGAUCAGCAUGCAAGGUUACAGAGGCGUGGCCAACAGACUGCAGGACACACACACUCCAACAGACAGCUAUUGACCUGAAGAGUGCUGUGACUGACAAUAGGGAUCACAGAGAGAGCUAAAGUGGAGACUCAGUGGUGGAACUGAGACAAGAACUGACCCUUUGUCACAUCUCCAUCUGAGGCCACUCCUUCCUCCGGUCCAUCACAGCCACAGUGUUCAAUGUCUAAAGCUGCUACCGUUCCCCAACGCUCUGAACUUGAACAUAACCCGUCCUGUUCUGUCUUAUUGCACACACCUGUUCCCAGUUCCCUAACCAUUAAGUGUCUUCAUGUUCCCUCUGUUUUCCCCUGUUCCUUGUCUAGUAUUGAGAAGUCUGACACAAUGUGCUGCUGCAUGUGCAGUCCGUUUAUGUUAAAGAAUAAAUAUUCCGGUGCUGCAUUCCCUGCGCCUGGUUCCUUUCUUCUUGUGAUCACCCUGACACCCCUGGUCUCUAUCAGGGAGCCGCAUAUGGUAUGUUAAUGAAGCCAGGAGUGUUACCACAGGUCCAUGGCUAUGCUAUUGGUAUGUGGUUCUAUUCACAUGUUAUUUUGCAGUGAAGAAGCAAUAAAAAAUGUUUGCGCUGCAAUAAAAC
This is a long non-coding RNA of Esox lucius (northern pike), 769 nucleotides long. The record is from Ensembl. NCBI's taxonomy places the organism in Eukaryota, Metazoa, Chordata, Actinopteri, Esociformes, Esocidae.